UACGAGGGGGGCAACUGUUGUUCGGAAUCACUGGGCGUAAAGGGCGCGUAGGCGGGUUUCUAAGUCAGGUGUUUAAUCCCGGGGCCCAACCCCGGACAGGCACUUGAAACUGGGAAUCUUGAAUAGUGGAGAGGUCAGUGGAAUUGGGGGUGUAGCGGUGGAAUGCGUAGAGAUCCCCAAGAACACCAGUUGCGAAGGCGGCUGACUGGACACAUAUUGACGCUGAGGCUCGAAAGCAUGGGGAGCAAACAGG
This 253-nucleotide ribosomal RNA is filed under the name uncultured bacterium. RNAcentral's name for it is "partial 16S ribosomal RNA". It matches the Rfam family "Bacterial small subunit ribosomal RNA", at positions 524 to 776 of the family's 1533-position model. The record is from RNAcentral.